Vicugna pacos (alpaca) is the source of this 286-nucleotide non-coding RNA. The record is from RefSeq and is a predicted model, not a curated record. NCBI's taxonomy places the organism in Eukaryota, Metazoa, Chordata, Mammalia, Artiodactyla, Camelidae.
CCUCUCUUCUAAGUUUAUGACCCCUUGUUUCCAUUUGGUUACCACAUAUUUCCAUGUGAAUGGUCUAGCAGAUAAUUAAACUCAUAUGUAUUCCUGUGAGUCAGGUGACCAGGUGUGACCUAGCUGGUCCUUGGCUCCAAGUGUCCGAACAGGUAGGCUGGAUUGCAUCCUCAUCUGGAGACUUGGCGAGAAUCUGCUUCUGAGCUCCUUCAGAUUGUUGGCAGAAUUCAUUUCUCUGUGGCUGCAAGACUAAUGGUUUCAGUUUAUUGCUGAAGCCAGUCCUCAG